GCUGGCGGCGUGCUUAACACAUGCAAGUCGAACGGUGAAAGCGGAGCUUGCUCUGCUGGAUCAGUGGCGAACGGGUGAGUAACACGUGAGCAAUCUGCCCCUGACUCUGGGAUAAGCGCUGGAAACGGCGUCUAAUACUGGAUACGAGCUGCGAAGGCAUCUUCAGCAGCUGGAAAGAACUUCGGUCAGGGAUGAGCUCGCGGCCUAUCAGCUUGUUGGUGAGGUAACGGCUCACCAAGGCGUCGACGGGUAGCCGGCCUGAGAGGGUGACCGGCCACACUGGGACUGAGACACGGCCCAGACUCCUACGGGAGGCAGCAGUGGGGAAUAUUGCACAAUGGGCGCAAGCCUGAUGCAGCAACGCCGCGUGAGGGACGACGGCCUUCGGGUUGUAAACCUCUUUUAGCAGGGAAGAAGCGAAAGUGACGGUACCUGCAGAAAAAGCGCCGGCUAACUACGUGCCAGCAGCCGCGGUAAUACGUAGGGCGCAAGCGUUAUCCGGAAUUAUUGGGCGUAAAGAGCUCGUAGGCGGUUUGUCGCGUCUGCUGUGAAAACCCGAGGCUCAACCUCGGGCCUGCAGUGGGUACGGGCAGACUAGAGUGCGGUAGGGGAGAUUGGAAUUCCUGGUGUAGCGGUGGAAUGCGCAGAUAUCAGGAGGAACACCGAUGGCGAAGCAGAUCUCUGGGCCGUAACUGACGCUGAGGAGCGAAAGGGUGGGGAGCAAACAGGCUUAAAUACCCUGGUAGUCCACCCCGUAACGUUGGGAACUAGUUGUGGGGUCCAUUCCCGGAUUCCGUGA
This 799-nucleotide ribosomal RNA is filed under the name Microbacterium sp. I-F3. RNAcentral's name for it is "bacterial SSU rRNA". It matches the Rfam family "Bacterial small subunit ribosomal RNA", at positions 35 to 846 of the family's 1533-position model. Lineage: Bacteria; Bacillati; Actinomycetota; Actinomycetes; Micrococcales; Microbacteriaceae. The record is from RNAcentral.